CUGGAGGACUAAGAAAGUAGAGCCCGUGAAGUCAAGUUGACUCUACUGAUACUAUCCUCCUAAAUCAAACGGUAGAAGAACAGGACCUGUCUCUGAGAUGGAGUCAGGACUUACUUAAGCUACCAACAAUC
Molecule: small nucleolar RNA, 131 nt
Filed under: Chelonoidis abingdonii (Abingdon island giant tortoise)
Lineage: Eukaryota; Metazoa; Chordata; Testudines; Testudinidae
Description: Small Cajal body specific RNA 15 (ENSCABG00000017285.1)
Rfam family: Small Cajal body specific RNA 15
About the family: scaRNAs are a specific class of small nuclear RNAs which localise to the Cajal bodies and guide the modification of RNA polymerase II transcribed spliceosomal RNAs U1, U2, U4, U5 and U12. ACA45 belongs to the H/ACA box class of guide RNAs as it has the predicted hairpin-hinge-hairpin-tail structure, the conserved H/ACA-box motifs and is found associated with GAR1. ACA45 is predicted to guide the pseudouridylation of residue U37 of the U2 spliceosomal snRNA.
Source: Rfam by way of RNAcentral